GAUAAACGCUGGCGGCGCACAUAAGACAUGCAAGUCGAACGGACUUAACCAUUAGUUUACUAUUGGAGCGGUUAGUGGCGGACUGGUGAGUAACACGUAAGCAACCUGCCUAUCAGAGGGGAACAACAGUUAGAAAUGACUGCUAAUACCGCAUAUGCCUAAGUACCACAUGGUACAAUAGGGAAAGGAGCAAUCCGCUGAUAGAUGGGCUUGCGUCUGAUUAGAUAGUUGGUGGGGUAAAGGCCUACCAAGUCGACGAUCAGUAGCCGGACUGAGAGGUUGAACGGCCACAUUGGGACUGAGAUACGGCCCAGACUCCUACGGGAGGCAGCAGUCGGGAAUAUUGCGCAAUGGAGGAAACUCUGACGCAGUGACGCCGCGUGCAGGAAGAAGGUUUUCGGAUUGUAAACUGCUUUAGACAGGGAAGAAACAAGACAGUACCUGUAGAAUAAGCUCCGGCUAACUACGUG
RNAcentral lists this ribosomal RNA (470 nucleotides) under uncultured bacterium. Its description in RNAcentral is "bacterial SSU rRNA". It matches the Rfam family "Bacterial small subunit ribosomal RNA", at positions 28 to 507 of the family's 1533-position model. The record is from RNAcentral.